This 253-nucleotide ribosomal RNA is filed under the name uncultured bacterium. RNAcentral describes it as "partial 16S ribosomal RNA". It matches the Rfam family "Bacterial small subunit ribosomal RNA", at positions 524 to 776 of the family's 1533-position model. The record is from RNAcentral.
UACGGAGGGUGCAAGCGUUAAUCGGAAUUACUGGGCGUAAAGGGCGCGUAGGCGGCCUACUAAGUCAGACGUGAAAUCCCCCGGCUUAACCUGGGAACUGCGUCUGAUACUGGAAGGCUUGAGUAUGGGAGAGGGAUGUAGAAUUCCAGGUGUAGCGGUGAAAUGCGUAGAUAUCUGGAGGAAUACCGGUGGCGAAGGCGGCAUCCUGGACCAUUACUGACGCUGAGGCGCGAAAGCUAGGGGAGCAAACGGG